AGAAAGGCAUUGGAGAAAAAUAUGGCAUUUAGACCUCUCAGAGCCGGGAGGGUGUCAGUCAUAGAAUGGAUGACGUCACAGAAUGGAUGAUGUCAUAGAAUGGAUGAUGUCAUAGAACGGGUGACGUCUCAGUCCAGCAUCGAGAGGCAAAGGAAGAUUGAAGUAGCAUGCACUCACAGGAGUCUUGGCAGAGACAACCAGGAAAGGGCUUAGACAGCUGUCAAACAAGUGGUUAAAAGGGCAGCAUUGUAGAGUGGAAAGCUCCUGAAUUGCAAGCAGAAACCUGGGCCCAAGUGCUUUUCAAGUCAUUGCCCAGAUGUUGUUGACAUCAGAGAGAUUUCAUAAAUACAAGGGUCACAACAGCUGUCACGAGGAUCCUAUGACAGAAGUACCUUUACCAGUUCUAAUUCUGGAAGUAGUUCUGUAAAUGUCAACUCUCUCCCUUUUCAAAAGAAUCUCUUAAUACCUUUGAGAAAGAGGUAACUGUUAA
Molecule: non-coding RNA, 490 nt
Organism: Rattus norvegicus (Norway rat)
Lineage: Eukaryota; Metazoa; Chordata; Mammalia; Rodentia; Muridae
Source: RefSeq, a predicted model, not a curated record